GAAAGAAACCAUGAACAGAAGAUCCUCCAGUGGGAAGGGAAGCCGGGAAAAGCAGCCCUCCAGGGACCAUUCUGCCUGGAUUUGGAUAUGGGGAAGUCCUGGGCAGGAGGCCGAGGGGCAGAGGCACUGAAGCCUGAAACAGGGCACCCCCUCUCACAGAGGACUGCACCUUGGACCCUGCUGUCCCUUCAGCUGUCCAGAGCCCUUCCAGGCCAGAAGUGGCAAACAGUCCUGAGAGACAUGGAGGUCCUGGAGAUUCUUGGAGAGGGCCAGGCACCACUCUGGGCCUUGUCUGUUAGACGGAUUCCUCCACCAUCUCUCAUACCUCUCCUCCUUCGUGUACAGGGAGGGGGCGGGGAGAGGGGCGCCUCCUUGCCGCAGUCCCAGGGCCCCAAGGUGAGAAGUAAGAGGUGGGGAAGGGCCUCACCGUGUCCUGGGCUGUAGGGCCGGGCCAGGCCAGGUACAGGGAGGUCCUUGUCCCAAAGACUCCAGAAUCGUAACCCUCAAGCACUUCCUACUGUGAGGAGCUACAAAGCAAGCCGGGGUCUCCUCAGCAGGGUAUUAUGACACCCUCACAUCCCAGCAGUGGAAGGACACUGGUGUGUCACUGAGCACACUGUCUUGCUCGGCUGCAAGCCCGCAGCUUUGGCCUCAGCUGUUAAUCCUCUCAGG
Homo sapiens (human) is the source of this 672-nucleotide long non-coding RNA. Lineage: Eukaryota; Metazoa; Chordata; Mammalia; Primates; Hominidae. The record is from Ensembl.